CCUACGGGAGGCAGCAGUGGGGAAUUUUGGACAAUGGGGGCAACCCUGAUCCAGCAAUGCCGCGUGAGUGAAGAAGGCCUUCGGGUUGUAAAGCUCUUUUGUCAGGGAAGAAACAGCAGCUCUAACACAGCUGUGAAUGACGGUACCUGAAGAAUAAGCACCGGCUAACUACGUGCCAGCAGCCGCGGUAAUACGUAGGGUGCAAGCGUUAAUCGGAAUUACUGGGCGUAAAGCGUGCGCAGGCGGUUAUAUAAGACAGGUGUGAAAUCCCCGGGCUUAACCUGGGAAUUGCAUCUGUGACUGUAUAGCUAGAGUGUGUCAGAGGGGGGUAGAAUUCCACGUGUAGCAGUGAAAUGCGUAGAUAUGUGGAGGAAUACCAAUGGCGAAGGCAGCCCCCUGGGAUAACACUGACGCUCAUGCACGAAAGCGUGGGGAGCAAACAGGAUUAGAUACCCUGGUAGUCCACGCCCUAAACGAUGCUGACUAGUUGUUCGGGAUUUUAUCCUGAGUAACGUAGCUAACGCGUGAAGUCGAGCGCGUGGUAGUUAGUUCGUGAGAGUAACGUUACGAGAGUAGAGGCGNGAGACGNGCGACGGACGACGACGAGGGAGGAGG
This 615-nucleotide ribosomal RNA is filed under the name uncultured bacterium. RNAcentral's name for it is "bacterial SSU rRNA". The stretch from base 1 to 539 matches the Rfam family "Bacterial small subunit ribosomal RNA", at positions 338 to 873 of the family's 1533-position model. The record is from RNAcentral.